CAAUCUGUGCGUGUUGUAAACUAAUCCCAGAAUUGAAUUCUUGGUACUUAGACUGAGAAUCAAUUAGAUGCAACAUCUCAUUAUCGAAACAACCUUCAAGAGAAGGGAUUUCCAUGGGGAAGAACCCAUCUGGCACAUCUGGUUUUUCCAUGCUUUCCCAAUGAAUCAAGCAAAGAUUAAAAACAGAUACACUAUGGAAAGUGUAGGAUUCUGCAUUUGAAAUCAAUGAAACUUCUUGAAUUACAGAUCCCAUUAAAAAGUCAUGGAUGACGAUAACCUUUCUUGCUUCGCUGGAAAGAGAACGCGGAAGCACAGACACAGGCUCUUGCAGGUGAGAUGAGGCGUACUCUAAAGCUGGCAGCAAAUGAGAAGGGAACUUGUUCUUGGCAUCUGGUUUGGGAGGAGGGCAAGGUAAAUGAGAGAUUUCAAAGUCAUGGAAAUGAAUAUAAGAGGUGGCGUUUACAUCCCAGCCGUUAACGCGGAGCUUGACCUGGAGGUUGUGGGUGGCGCCGCCGACAAAGUGGACGGG
This 529-nucleotide unclassified non-coding RNA is filed under the name Hevea brasiliensis (rubber tree). The record is from RNAcentral. Lineage: Eukaryota; Viridiplantae; Streptophyta; Magnoliopsida; Malpighiales; Euphorbiaceae.